AAGUCGUAACAAGGUUUCCGUAGGUGAACCUGCGGAAGGAUCAUUAAUGAAAUGAUGUUUUUUGGGGUUUUUAAUCUCAAAAAUAAUUCACCUUUUGUGCAUUGUUAUUAGAUAUACUUUGGUUAGAGCUUUGAAUUCAUUUAUUGGAAUCAACUUCUUGCUAACUCUAUCCUCUCUGAGGACAGUUGGCUAUGAAGCGGCCCACCAAAGUUUUUUAUCAAACUCUUGUAUUUUGUCUGACCUAAAUAUCAAUAAUUAAAUCAUAACUUUCAACAACGGAUCUCUUGGCUCUC
RNAcentral lists this unclassified non-coding RNA (293 nucleotides) under fungal sp. Its description in RNAcentral is "partial internal transcribed spacer region". The stretch from base 1 to 46 matches the Rfam family "Eukaryotic small subunit ribosomal RNA", at positions 1786 to 1831 of the family's 1831-position model. The record is from RNAcentral. Lineage: Eukaryota; Fungi.